GACGAACGCUGGCGGCGUGCCUAACACAUGCAAGUCGAGCGGAGAUAAGCGGAAGGUAACUGAAGCUUAUCUUAGCGGCGGACGGGUGAGUAACACGUGGGCAACCUGCCUUGGAGUGGGGGAUAACACCGGGAAAUCGGUGCUAAUACCGCAUAACAUACACAAACUGCAUGGUAAGUGUAUCAAAGGAGUAAUCCGCUUUAAGAUGGGCCCGCGGCUGAUUAGCUAGUUGGUAAGGUAACGGCUUACCAAGGCGACGAUCAGUAGCCGACCUGAGAGGGUGACCGGCCACACUGGAACUGAGACACGGUCCAGACUCCUACGGGAGGCAGCAGUGGGGAAUAGUUGCGCAAUGGGGGGAACCCUGACGCAGCAACGCCGCGUGGAGGAAGAAGGUCUUCGGAUUGUAAACUCCUGUCUUCUGGGACGAAGUAUGACGGUACCAGAGGAGGAAGCCACGGCUAACUACGUG
RNAcentral lists this ribosomal RNA (472 nucleotides) under uncultured bacterium. RNAcentral describes it as "bacterial SSU rRNA". It matches the Rfam family "Bacterial small subunit ribosomal RNA", at positions 28 to 507 of the family's 1533-position model. The record is from RNAcentral.